This 996-nucleotide ribosomal RNA is filed under the name Triticum aestivum (bread wheat). RNAcentral describes it as "partial small subunit ribosomal RNA". The record is from RNAcentral. Lineage: Eukaryota; Viridiplantae; Streptophyta; Magnoliopsida; Poales; Poaceae.
AUGAUAAUCAAUGAACAAGGUGAAUGGGAGUCUGAAAGUGACCCUGAAGGUGGCAAUAAUGAAGUGGAAGAGGAGCAAGAUUGGGAAGUAGGAGGAACUAUUUUAUCUCACGAAGAACUUCAUGGUGAAGCUUUGGUUGUAUGUCGUUCACUUAAUGCCCAAGUUGUGGAGGAGGAAAAGGGGCAGCGACAUAAUCUUUUCCACACCCGUUGCCUUAUCAACUCAAAGAUAUGUCGAGUGAUUGUUGAUAGUGACAGUUGCAACAAUAUUGCAAGCACUGAGAUGGUCGAGAAGCUUCAAUUGCAAACAAAACGUCACCCACCUCCAUACCGCAUGCAAUGGCUGAAUGAUUGUGGCGCAAUUAAGGUGAUUAGCAGCGUGCGAAUACCAAUUUCAGUAGGGACAUAUCAAGAUGAUGUUGUGUGUGAUGUGGUGCCGAUGCACGCUUGUCACUUGCUUCUUGGACGACCGUGGUUGCAUGACCGUGACGUGCAAAUCAGCGGGCGUGCAAAUCGCUUAUGUUUUGUCCACAGAGGAGAAAAGUUCACUUGGCUGCCCAUGACACCCGAGGAAGUCUAUCUUGAUGAGAUGAAGAGAAAAGGAAAGAAAAAAGGAGAGAGUGAUCAGACACAACGAGUGAGCCACCAACAUAGUGAGGGAGUGUUUCCACAGCCAAAUAUGACCAAGCCCCGGGAAAAAGAGGGAUUAGUUAUGACAGCUAGGAAAAGGGAUAUGCGGGAAUUGAGAGAACCUAAUACUACAUUCUUUGUACUCCUGUACAAGGAAACUUUAUUGGCUGCUAACGAUUUACCCUCAACUCUUCCUAGUGUUGUUCUUGAUCUUUUGCAGGAGUAUGAGGAUGUGUUUCCCAAGGAGGUACCACCUGGUUUGCCACCGAAGCGGGGCAUUGAGCACCAAAUCGACUUGGUUCCGGGCGCCCCACUACCAAACCGGCCACCGUAUCGAGCAAACCCAGAGGAGACGAAGGAAAUUUAG